GGUGGUUUGGGGGAGUUGCUUUGGGAUUGCUAUAGCAGGUGCGACUUUAAAAAAAAAAUCACAUGGAACUUUAUCAAGUGCAUUUGGAAACAGUUGGAAAUUAGCCAGGAGGAACAUUCUCCUUCAAUCCCUUAGACAUCCAGUUGUGGGCUUGGAUUAGGCCCCUGAACAGCUGAGUUAGGAGGACACUGACACCUUGUCACACUUUGAAGCUCUUUAUUCCCUCCUCACCCUCCAACAAAAGCACCAGAGAUUGCCCUCCCCUAACUACACACACACACACACACACACACACACACACACGUCCAGCUGCCAGAUAUGCCAGUUCUCUUUCAGAGAACACUAGACAGUGAGUCCAGGCAAGUUACCAUGGUUCUCUAUUAUCGCGUCCAGCACAUCAGGGAAUGGAAAUAAGUGUGCACAUGUUCUUAAAGGCCCUUUGGGAAAGAUCAGUGGGGCUGCAUGGGGAACACAAUGGCAGGCUUUGUCACAAAGAAAGGAUUUGGGCUGGCAGGCAGCAACAGUCCUGCUGGACACAGAGUUUUUCUGCAAAGGCAGUGGGGGGAAAACCAUGUGCUGGAUUACACAGCAUCCUCACUGGGAAAAGUAGAGCAUUUUGUGUAAUUAAAAGUCAUCCUGAAGACAUCAGACUCACAUGUCCUAGAAGAGACAGCCUCUUCAGCCUGGAAUGAAGAGGACACUGGAAACAGACAUGCAUAUGAUCCAGCUUCUCAUAUGUCAAGAACAUGAAAAACUGUUUAUGUUCUAUUGUUGUAAGCCAUUGAGUUGUAUAGUUGUUCAUUCCUAGAGCAAAGAUGAAUAAUUUAGAACACAGAACAAAAAGGGUACGUGAUUUGCUCAAGUUUACACAAUUAAGCAGCUAAAUGACAGAAUCAGAAUUGAAUCUCACUUCUUUUAACAUCCAGUCCAGUCUUCUCUUCAUAUUUCAGAACUCCUUAAAUGACCGAUGUAAAUAUCUACACAGAAUACUUUACUGAGAUAUUUAGAACAUCUGAAAAAGCAAUUUACUCCAAGACAAUGGCUUUGACCAAUUAAUUGUUCCUUACAUGCAACUAACAGGCUACUAGCAAUCCAUGAAACUCUCAUUGUGGUCACUAGUGACCAUACCAACCAGGAGCUACUCCUCUUGAUGUGAACUGGGUGGUGUGGAGUUGGGGACUGAGUAAGGUUUGCCCCUUUACAUUUGUUCUUAUUAGCCAGGUCAUCUUCAAGUGCCUGUUAUCUGUGGUAAGAUACUGGAUUCCAGCAACAGCUCCAGUGUAUCAGUAUAGUCUUAUCUUAGGAACAUAUGGACUCUUUCAUACUUGGUUUCCCUAAGUAGGCUUUUAAAAGUGAUGGCAAAUUCUGUCAACAACUCACACCUGUUUUGUGUCCGCUCCAGUAAAAAAAUCUGUCUGGGCACUUCAAGAAGCUCCUUUUACUAUGAGGCCACUUUGUACCCUGUUCCAUUUACUCCUGUCGCCAUUUCCCUCAGGAGGUUUUUCAAAAUGUAUGUCUUCAGUGAGCCCUUCUGGUUAGAACUACAACCUUUUAUCUACUGAUUAUGUUCGUUUUUGGACCGUUAUACCCCAUCUGAAGUAUAUGAUAUAGAUUUUCUAUAUCUAACUCAAUAUUUGUUCUGUAUUCACUUGAUCUGUCAGUCAUAUUAGACUAUAGGAAUUUGAAAGUGGA
Molecule: long non-coding RNA, 1692 nt
Organism: Bos indicus x Bos taurus (hybrid cattle)
Lineage: Eukaryota; Metazoa; Chordata; Mammalia; Artiodactyla; Bovidae
Source: Ensembl